Molecule: long non-coding RNA, 189 nt
Organism: Ixodes scapularis (black-legged tick)
Lineage: Eukaryota; Metazoa; Arthropoda; Arachnida; Ixodida; Ixodidae
Exons: 3
Source: RefSeq, a predicted model, not a curated record
CAAGACCUGGAUCGGCAGGGACAAAGCAGGCCUCGACCACUGCCGCCGCAGGAUCAUCCGGGAAAGAGAACAGGCCCCCCAAGAGCGCCGUGGCGGGAGCAGCGACGCCCCUGCAGCGAGGAAGUUCCCGCCUGGCUUCGAGGUCCUGCGUGAGGCCACUCUUCGCUGCGCAGGGGAAGCAGGAGGUGG